CCUACGGGGGGCUGCAGUGGGGAAUAAUGGACAAUGGGGGCAACCCUGAUCCAGCCAUGCCGCGUGUGUGAAGAAGGCCCUCGGGUUGUAAAGCACUUUCAGUGAGGAAGAACGCCUGGUGGUUAAUACCCAUCAGGAAAGACAUCACUCACAGAAGAAGCACCGGCUAACUCCGUGCCAGCAGCCGCGGUAAUACGGAGGGUGCGAGCGUUAAUCGGAAUUACUGGGCGUAAAGCGCGCGUAGGUGGCUUGAUAAGCCGGUUGUGAAAGCCCCGGGCUCAACCUGGGAACGGCAUCCGGAACUGUCAAGCUAGAGUGCAGGAGAGGAAGGUAGAAUUCCCGGUGUAGCGGUGAAAUGCGUAGAGAUCGGGAGGAAUACCAGUGGCGAAGGCGGCCUUCUGGACUGACACUGACACUGAGGUGCGAAAGCGUGGGUAGCAAACAGGAUUAGAUACCCCAGUAGUC
This 465-nucleotide ribosomal RNA is filed under the name Vreelandella stevensii. RNAcentral describes it as "partial 16S ribosomal RNA". It matches the Rfam family "Bacterial small subunit ribosomal RNA", at positions 338 to 795 of the family's 1533-position model. Lineage: Bacteria; Pseudomonadati; Pseudomonadota; Gammaproteobacteria; Oceanospirillales; Halomonadaceae. The record is from RNAcentral.